Orbicella faveolata is the source of this 319-nucleotide long non-coding RNA. Lineage: Eukaryota; Metazoa; Cnidaria; Anthozoa; Scleractinia; Merulinidae. The record is from RefSeq and is a predicted model, not a curated record.
UUGAAGGUAGAUGCACGUAGGUUUGGUGCCUUUGAUUCUCCAAACUGUCCUCCAUUGGCUACGGUAGAAGCAGGAAUUGAAGUUGAAUGGGAGGAGCUGUUUAAUGAAAACCAAGCAACUAAAUUCAAAGUCCAUACCAAGAUGAGUUCAAGAAUAGGAGUGUUGAGGAUCUUUCCUGGUAUAACACCUGAGGCAGUGCGUGCUUUUCUGGAGCCUCCCAUAGAAGGUGUAGUCCUUGAAACCUAUGGCAGUGGAAAUGGACCAGAUUCACGAGAAGAACUCCUGGAGGAGAUACGAGCUGCUGCCAAGCGAGGAGUGA